RNAcentral lists this long non-coding RNA (229 nucleotides) under Gossypium raimondii (Peruvian cotton). RNAcentral's name for it is "long non-coding RNA (GRAI_LNC006978)". The record is from RNAcentral. Lineage: Eukaryota; Viridiplantae; Streptophyta; Magnoliopsida; Malvales; Malvaceae.
CGCAUUGGACUUGGAAUCUUUCAGAAAUGGCGUCGACAACUCGAUUAAUAGAAACUGCUUUGAAAGUAUUAGAAUGGUUAUUUCCUUUUCGAGCCUCUUCUGCUAGAAUUUCAAGGAAAACAUGUUCAUCGAUUUUGUAACAAGGUUAAAACAUAAUCAAUAUCUAACAAAUUCAAGACAUAUAUCAAAAUCCAACAAACUAAAAUUUCAAUAUCAUUAUCCAACCAAC